This 823-nucleotide ribosomal RNA is filed under the name uncultured bacterium. RNAcentral's name for it is "bacterial SSU rRNA". It matches the Rfam family "Bacterial small subunit ribosomal RNA", at positions 8 to 822 of the family's 1533-position model. The record is from RNAcentral.
AGAGUUUGAUCCUGGCUCAGGACGAACGCUGGCGGCGUGGAUUAGGCAUGCAAGUCGAACGGUAUCAUCCUUUCGGGGGUGAGAGAGUGGCGAACUGGUGAGUAACACGUAGGUUAUCUACCCUCAAGACGGGGACAACCCAGGGAAACUUGGGCUAAUACCGGAUGUGAGCAACUUUUUAGUUGUUUGAAAGGUGGCGUAAGCUGUCGCUUGGGGAUGAGCCUGCGUCCUAUUAGUUAGUUGGUGAGGUAACGGCUCACCUAGGCAAUGAUAGGUAGGCGGCCUUAACGGGUGGUCGCCCACACUGGGAUUGAGAUACGGCCCAGACUCCUACGGGAGGCAGCAGUCGAGAAUAGUCUACAAUGGUCGGAAGACUGAUAGUGCGACGCCGCGUGAACGAUGAAUCCCUUCGGGGUGUAAAGUUCUUUUAUAUGUGAGCAGUGCUUCUUAUAUUAAGAGUAUGGGGAGAGAGAUAUUAGCAUAUGAAUAAGCAACGGCUAACUCCGUGCCAGCAGCCGCGGUAACACGGGGGUUGCGAGCGUUGUCCGGAAUUACUAGGCGUAAAGGGCAGGCAGGCGGAUCCAUAAGUUUAUCGUUUAAGGCGUCGGCUUAACCGGCGUAGGGCGGUAGAUACUGUGGAUCUGGAAUGCGGUUGGGGAAGACAGAAUUCCUGGUGUAGCGGUGGAAUGCGCAGAGAUCAGGAGGAAUACCGAAGGCGAAGGCAGUCUUCCAAGCCGUUAUUGACGCUCAACUGCGAAGGUGUGGGUAUCAAACAGGAUUAGAUACCCUGGUAGUCCACACAGUAAACGAUAAUCACUGGGUG